This is a regulatory RNA element of Anoxybacillus sp. B7M1, 143 nucleotides long. It matches the Rfam family "ylbH leader". From Rfam's summary of the family: This family is a putative regulatory RNA structure that is found upstream of the ylbH gene in B. subtilis and related low GC Gram-positive bacteria. The record is from Rfam. Lineage: Bacteria; Bacillati; Bacillota; Bacilli; Caryophanales; Anoxybacillaceae.
AUAAAAAAAUCCCUGCAGUUUUCCUGCAGGGCCUUUUAUGCUUAAUGGUUCCUGCGCAUCGAAAAGGAACGCAUAAGCUAAAGGAAAAGGGAGAGGAGAAACCGGAGGAAGAACUUAUGGGGAAACGUAAGUCUUCUCCGUGA